Pseudopipra pipra is the source of this 2309-nucleotide long non-coding RNA. RefSeq lists it as uncharacterized. NCBI's taxonomy places the organism in Eukaryota, Metazoa, Chordata, Aves, Passeriformes, Pipridae. The transcript has 3 exons. The record is from RefSeq and is a predicted model, not a curated record.
UGUGAGAGGAAAAACAGAGAAAGGACACUGAUGAAUUUAAGAUUUUCAACACCAAGAGAGAUGAUCUUUCUGUUCUCUUGGCUCAGAAACUCCCAUUCUAGCAAACUCCUUAUAGCCCUGCACUACACAGUGAAUAUUUUGUUCAGUGGAGGUAAUCUGAGUUUUUGGAACUGUUUCUUCUGAUCUCCAGUUUUUUACUCUGCAUCUCUACCCUUAAAAUCCAGUGUGACUUUACAAUUAGUUGCUAUCUUCAUAAAUAGGCUUCUGUUUGCCCAGUACUCCAGGCUUUAGCCCCUCCUCGGUGCAACAGUUCUUCCCUCUAACAUUACCUUUUACCAUUCACACAUCUAAAGCACUUAUUCCACAUAGGACUGCUUUGUCUGCAGUCUCAGAGCUGUCUGAUUCCUCUUCUCCACAGAGGAUUACAAAGAGAAAACAAGAAAAAAACCCAAACAAACCACUCACACAUUCAUUCUGUCUAAGCAUCACGGUAGGAACAAAGUUGCUAUGAAAUCUGUAACUUUCUUGGGUGUGAACAAAGGUGGGUUUACUGUAGCCACUCAGGGAUUCCUGCUGCAGCAAUCAUUGAGAAAAUAAAUACUUCAGAGUACUUCAGAGUGUUUUAUGGUGUAAUAGUGUUUCCUGUAUUAUUCGUAUGUUAGCCAAAUGGAAACAGAAUAUAUUGUGCAUUCUUUACUUUGCAGACAUCUCUGUUUCAGGGCAGAUGUGAUCAUAUCCUGCAGGGGUGUGCCCUGACCGUACAUUCAGAGAGGACCUUGGAUAUGCUGACUGCAGUUAAUUUCAUUUGUACAGGCAUAAGCAUCUCAUUCUACUUAUCUCAGAUUCUUGAAUUAAUAUUCAAUCAUCCUCCGAGUGUGUCUAGUUGUUCUUUGUUCUAAGCAGAUCUUGAUGUUUAGCUCUAUCACAAAAGGGGGACUAUCUUUCUGAAAGGAAAGGUUCAAAGUAAUUUUGGAUGUCUUAAAAUACCCGAGACAUUUACACUGGCUUGGAAACUGGUCUGGUUCUUGGGUAGCAGUUUGGCACAAACAUGUGAUGACUUCUCUUCAGGUACCCUGUAUCUGCACAGAGUAGCAAUGUUCCCUUCUGACAUUUACUACAGCAGAUUAGUGCAGACUACUAAUCAGAAAGCCCACAAUUACAUCAUUUCAGCUCUUUCAGGUGUUGUUCUAUUGCCUGUUAUUGAUCCGAGGUCCUUCGUGUCUUGUUUGCAUUGUCCCGUUUGCCAUAGUUUACUGCAUCCAGCUCCUGUUUGCACUGCAGCUCGGCUCUGGGACAAAACAAGGCCAUGAUACUCCCAUGUCAUUUAGACAAGUCCACAGCAGUGGAACAGGUUGAAAUCUAGACCAGGAAAUUAAGUAGUCAAGAUGAAGUAAAAGCCAGCAAGAUAUAAGGCCAGGCACAACAUACAUGCAGCACAGGCAAGACAAGAAAAAAGAAGAGAGAUCAAGCUUAAACACUUCAGUCCUGAACCAAUUUCCAGAUGAGGUUUCCCACAGCUUUCUUACAAUUUAGCUGUUUCACAUCAAAUUAAUACAAGGUUAAACAACCAUAUUGUAUCAGUCCUGACCUUGAACAGAGACAGCUAAACUGCUGGGGAGAGGAAAGAGGAGACAGCAGAGAGGGAGUAUAAAGAAGGCCCUUACCUGCAGGUCAGAGCAUUUUAAACCUGUUUCUGCACCUGUUGUCCCAUCAAAUCUAAAAAAGUCAUCAUGAGUAAACUAGGAGCAUUGGUUAGAGAGUCACUGACACCUGGAAAGGCCAGGCAGGCAGGCAGAAAGUACAUGGGGUUGUAAAACCAUGGAUCGCUGAUGACUGUGACAAGGAUUAUGAAGUUCCUUGGAGAAAAGCAUGGAGAGAAAAUACUGAAUAAAGAGUUAUCUGUCCUAUGAAUCUUCCUGUUGCUGUGUUUUCUGAGGACUGCACUGUGCCAGUGAUUAAUCUCAGACCCUCUCUGUGAAACACCUGUGAGAUUUACUCACAGGAUCAAAAAAAAAGAAGACCAGAACAGUAUUGUUUUGGAGAUAUAGGGAUUGGGUCAUAAGGGAAUGAAUUAGAAAGUUCAUGGUUUAUUUUACUCUGUAGAUAAUAAUCCCACAAGCACAAGAGCAAAUGUCCUUCUGUGCUAAGCUCCAUAAGCCUGAAUACUUGUAUGUGACUUCCAACAGUAUUGUGAAUUACAUACCAGGAUCAUCUCAGUAGUCAACAGCUACAGGAUCAGCAAAUUACAGAGUCAUGUAGGAUGAAGGGAUCUCCGCAAGUUUCCAGUCCAGCCUCCUGUUUAAAAGAAA